UCAUCGCUCUUGACCUAACUCCUCCUUGUAACCAAGCGUCCAAGCCUCCUCACGAGCAAGUCGUGCACCUCGCAUGGCGGUGAGGACGACUGGGCUAUGGCGACAAGGACGCCCACGGCGGCAAGGACGCUCGCGGCCGCUUCAAAGUCGCCAUUGGUAAGCCUCCAGUGCUCAACAUCGUCGCCUUCGCCAGGAUCGAAAGAGACCAAAUUAAGCCUCCCCGACAAGCUGAUCCCCAAGUUCGUCAAGUGCUUCUCCUACGACGACGCCUUUGGUCUCCUCGAGGUCCGACUCUAUGGCCCCUGCUAUGCGCACUACGAACCUACUUCGACAACGAGGUGCGGGGGAACCUCAGCUACGACACUCUGUAGGGUGGUCGGGUGGGCGCAGGAGGAGCUGUUCCUUAAAUUCCUGGUUAUAGGGAUCAUGAUCACCGAUCCCACCUUUGGUGUGAUCCUCUUCGACAUCGGCAUUGUGCGCAAGCGCCUUGUCACCUCCGCCUUUGACCCACCGCUAGAAUACCUCCUGGAAGUGGAAGAAGUGACCAUCGGAAUAGGUGAGUAGACUCGAUUGAAAACGAAGCGAUUUUGCCCGGCUGCAUUUCCUUUCAUGUUGGAUUAGGGAUUGAUUUUGGUGUGAUUGUUGCUGCAUUUGUUGGCUACUGGAUGAUUGACAUCUACUUCCUCUACAUUUUCUAUUUCUUCUUGCUUUCCAACUAAAGAUUGAUUUUUUUUCCAUUGACAAUCUGUUCUCUUCUGCAAAAUAUGAUCUUCAUGUUGUAAAUUUCUUAAUUUUUCUGGAAUUAAACUUCAACAUACAUCCAUUUCGAAUAGCAAUGCUUGUUGUCAAGACAAACCUUUAUUCCUUGACAUUUCUUGUUUACUUCAAUGUUGAUUCUACCAAUGUGACAUUUUGUUGAUUAAUAUUUCUUUAGUGUUUCUUCUGCUUAGUUGAUUUUGAUUUUAGUCUGUAUUUCCUUUUGCAAGUUUUAGCUUUUGCUUCUCCAAAUAUGUUGAGUUCCACACACUAGAACCUUGCUUACAAGCAACCGCUUAAUUAUUUUGCUUCAUUUCAUUGUCAAUGGUGUGCCAACUUGCUUGCCAAAGGCUUGGAAAUUAGUUCAACCUGUGUCCUCCAUUUCUGUCACAAGAUUUCUGGAUACUAUAUUAAAUUAGUUACUGAGAUUAUUUUGCAAUUGCAAUCUCUUACUUAUGGUUAUAUUUCCUCUUAAGUUGUGCAGUCCUUGUUUUUAGUUUUGUUCCUUUCUUGUGCAAUUCUCUGCUGCUUCAAGUAUGAGUAAUUUUUCAACAUUAUUCGAGCUGAACUCAUUGAAUGUGUCUGUGUUUUCUUAGUUCCUUUGCAGAGUCAUUGCGAAUAGUUGGACAAUUUCUUCAUUAGAGUUGAUCAUCACAAAAAAAAAUAAUUCAUAAAAUUGCCAAUGAUUGCACUACUCGUUGAAGUUAAGAUCCAAGGUUUUGUUCUUAUUGCAAAGGGUUUAUUUUCAACUUUCAAAGAUGAGGCUAUCUUCUUCAAAUCUCUCUGAUCACCAAAAGAAGGUAUCAAUGAUACUUCCAUUUAUUCAGAAUAUUUGACAAUCUUCAAGUUCUAUGUGAAGCCUUUACAAAGAUUCAAAAUAUUUUCUUUUAUUAUUGGAAAAUAUGUCCGCAUUCUUCUUUUAAUUUUUAGCAACGGUAUCAAAGAGUUCGCGGAUAACAAAUCGACUUGAGUUAGUGAACAAAAUAGAGAAAAACAAAAUGUUGAUGACUACUCUACUCAUUCUUCAUUCAAUCUUCAAUAAUGAUGUGAUGUAAUCGGUGAAAAAUUUGCUAGAAGGUGGCAGUCUACAGUGAUGUGAUGUGAUGGGUGAAUCAUGCAAGGGGAUGGUGUAUGAACUUCAACGCGAUCGACACUUUGGAAGAUAAAAUAAUUAAAGUUUCAACAGAUUUGCUCUAAUAAGAUGAAUAUAGAAUUAUCACAAGAAAUUGAAGACAUGCAUACUACUAGCAAGAGGAUGGAGGAAGAAAUUAUUAAAAGGAAAAGAAAAUUGGAAUCGUAAUGUAUGAUUACUUUUAUCUCAAGACUAUGUGAAUGUUUUUUAUCUCAAUGGUAAUCAUAUUGUACUGUUGGAUUUAGAAA
Molecule: RNA transcript, 2136 nt
Organism: Zingiber officinale
Lineage: Eukaryota; Viridiplantae; Streptophyta; Magnoliopsida; Zingiberales; Zingiberaceae
Exons: 5
Source: RefSeq, a predicted model, not a curated record